GAGGAAUAUUGGUCAAUGGACGGAAGUCUGAACCAGCCAAGUAGCGUGCAGGAUGACGGCCCUAUGGGUUGUAAACUGCUUUUGUAUGGGGAUAAAGUUAGGGACGUGUCCCUAUUUGCAGGUACCAUACGAAUAAGGACCGGCUAAUUCCGUGCCAGCAGCCGCGGUAAUACGGAAGGUCCAGGCGUUAUCCGGAUUUAUUGGGUUUAAAGGGAGCGUAGGCUGGAGAUUAAGUGUGUUGUGAAUGUAGACGCUCAACGUCUGAAUUGCAGCGCAUACUGGUUUCCUUGAGUACGCACAACGUUGGCGGAAUUCGUCGUGUAGCGGUGAAAUGCUUAGAUAUGACGAAGAACUCCGAUUGCGAAGGCAGCUGACGGGAGCGCAACUGACGCUUAAGCUCGAAGGUGCGGGUAUCAAACAGGAUUAGAUACCCUGGUAGUCCGCACAGUAAACGAUGGAUGCCCGCUGUUGGUACCUGGUAUCAGCGGCUAAGCGAAAGCAUUAAGCAUCCCACCUGGGGAGUACGCCGGCAACGGUG
RNAcentral lists this ribosomal RNA (538 nucleotides) under uncultured bacterium. RNAcentral's name for it is "bacterial SSU rRNA". It matches the Rfam family "Bacterial small subunit ribosomal RNA", at positions 356 to 896 of the family's 1533-position model. The record is from RNAcentral.